UCGGGAAUUUUGGGCAAUGGGCGAAAGCCUGACCCAGCAACGCCGCGUGAGGGAUGAAGUAUUUCGGUAUGUAAACCUCGAAAGAAUGGGAAGAAUAAAUGACGGUACCAUUUAUAAGCUCCGGCUAACUACGUGCCAGCAGCCGCGGUAAUACGUAGGGAGCAAGCGUUGUUCGGAUUUACCGGGCGUAAAGGGCGCGUAGGCGGCGCGGUAAGUCACUUGUGAAAUCUCUGAGCUUAACUCAGAACGGCCAAGUGAUACUGCUGUGCAAGAGUGCGGAAGAGGCAACCGGAAUUCUUGGUGUAGCGGUGAAAUGCGUAGAUAUCAAGAGGAGCACCUGAGGCGAAGGCGGGUUGCUGGGCCGACACUGACGCUGAUGCGCGAAAGCCAGGGGAGCAAACGG
Molecule: ribosomal RNA, 403 nt
Filed under: uncultured bacterium
Lineage: Bacteria
Description: bacterial SSU rRNA
Rfam family: Bacterial small subunit ribosomal RNA
Source: RNAcentral